CGAUAGCCCUUGGGUGAUGGUUCCCGCGCCGACGAUUCCUCGGCCGGGAUGAAAAGGGAACACGGUGCGGCCCAUCCGGGCCAAUGCCGCGACUGCCCCCGCAACUGUAGGCGGAGAGCAAUGCCGGAACACCACUGGCCGAAAGGCUGGGAAGGUCGGCAAAGCUGCGACCCGCAAGUCAGGAGACCUGCCAUCGGAACUGAAACUCG
This 209-nucleotide non-coding RNA is filed under the name Ruegeria marisrubri. RNAcentral also lists the same sequence under 1 other name. The record is from RNAcentral. Lineage: Bacteria; Pseudomonadati; Pseudomonadota; Alphaproteobacteria; Rhodobacterales; Roseobacteraceae.